GAAAUGCGAUACGUAAUGUGAAUUGCAGAUUCGUGACUCAUCGAAAUUUUGAACGCAUAUUGCACUUGAUGGUAUUCCGUCAAGUAUGCUUGUUUGAGUGUCAUUUGUACCCUCAAGCUUUGCUUGGUGUUGGGUGUUUGUCCUCUCUGGAGGACUCGCCUUAAAACAAUUGGCAGCCGGCAUAUUGGUAUCGGAGCGCAGCACAAGUCGCGCUUCUUUCCAUGAAUGUCAGCAUCCAUCAAGACUAUUUUCACUCUUGACCUCGGAUCAGGUAGGGAUACCCGCUGAACUUAA
RNAcentral lists this unclassified non-coding RNA (294 nucleotides) under uncultured Ascomycota. RNAcentral describes it as "sequence contains ITS1". The stretch from base 1 to 103 matches the Rfam family "5.8S ribosomal RNA", at positions 50 to 154 of the family's 154-position model. Lineage: Eukaryota; Fungi; Ascomycota. The record is from RNAcentral.